CUCAGGCCAAACCCGGAUCUCUUCAGACUCUCCAUCUCUCGUCUCGUUUCCUCUUCUUCUCUUCAUCCUCGCUCGAUGCCAUCCCAUCGAUCUAAAGGCCGAAGCCAAUAAUCCUGUCAUUAGGUGAGUGAAUAUGUCUCUCCCAAAUUCAGUUGGGGUCUCUCUCUCUCUUCUUUGCUAUGCGCGGCCCUUCGAGGCUUCCAACGCCAGACGUGUAUGCAUCAAUUGCUUCUCUCUCCAUCCUCUCUCAGGGGUUGAAGUAGUUUUUGCAAUAGAGAAAGCUGCGGUGGAGAUAUGACUUCUGUUCGCUGACGGUGCUCUCGGGCCGUCUAUCAAACUCAACUCGGGGCUGGAUUAUUACAUAGAUGUUGAUUAUCAAGUGGGUGAUGGCUUCUCUUUCAGUGGAGGUGUCUAUUCUCUUUUCCACUACCUCUUUUAUUUGCUAAAUGGCCUUUCCAAGUUUUUCAGUACUAGUAACUGAGGAAGUGGGUAAGUUUUUGACAGGAAAGUAUUCAUAUGGACCAAGCCCUUCUGAUGAAUGGUUCAAGCAGGGGAAGAUAGUGCUUAUAUUUCUCUUGGUUCUGGUGAGAAGGUCCGAUCUUGGACUUGCAAUGGGUGCUGAUUCUCAGGCAGCUGCUGAUGUUUUUAGUUCUUUCUGGUUCUUAAACGGAGCCCUUGCAUUCUUAUAAAAGUUCCAUGAUUUAAAUUGGUAAGUAUUUCUUGUCUAGGCAUAGUAUUCCACUGAAUACAGUCUUCUUUUUUCCAAUGGAUGUCUAUUUUUGACUCAUCUUUUUUACAUCUGGUAUAGGUCUUGCAUCACCAUUGUGACAAGGCCCGCCGGCUAUGUGAGGCAUUCGGUGCAUAGGAUUUUCCCCCCGUGUCACUUUAUGAACGAAAAAAAAGAACCUUUCAUGUCUUGAAUGUUUGGAAUCUGCCUUGUGUAGCUGAUGUCAACUUUUUUAUUUCUGUUAUUUAGUUGCUGCCGUUAAACUUCUGUUGAGUUGCUUGUUGGUUCUUUUGAGGGUGAUUUUUUGCUCUCCUGCAGAUUUCAAAGUACAUGUUGAUUAAUGCUUAGAGUAUUUACAUGGAUUUUAAAGUACAUGUUGAUUAAUGCUUAGAGUAUGUUAUUUCCUGGAGGUUAUUUGCUUCCAAUUUAUUUUUACUGAUUCGUCUGCUUUUUUAUUUCAGAGCAUUGUCAGUCAUGGGGUUGAAAAGCCAGCUAUCCAGUGAUGAUGAACUUCUGGUUAUUCGUCUUUGGAAGGGUCUUCAAUGCUAUUGCUAUAGUGAUUCAAGAUUUUGAUCUAGGAUGCUCUUUGUUAAUCUAGAAUGUUUUACAUUUUAGGACGGUAAUGAUAAAUUGUUGGUUUAAUUAAGUUGUUUUUAUACAAUAUUGUUGUUGGCAUAUUAAUUCACAUUUUGUAAUGUGAUAUUGCAGUUUGUUAUCUCGCUUUUCAUCUCAAUAAAUUGUAUAGAUUUAUAUAGAUUUUGAAAUGGUAUCACA
Molecule: RNA transcript, 1501 nt
Organism: Rosa rugosa (rugosa rose)
Lineage: Eukaryota; Viridiplantae; Streptophyta; Magnoliopsida; Rosales; Rosaceae
Exons: 5
Source: RefSeq, a predicted model, not a curated record